CUGCAGUCGANCGCUUCUUUUUCCACUCGGAGCUUGCUCCACCGGAAAAAGAGGAGUGGCGAACGGGUGAGUAACACGUGGGUAACCUGCCCAUCAGAAGGGGAUAACACUUGGAAACAGGUGCUAAUACCGUAUAACAAUCGAAACCGCAUGGUUUUGAUUUGAAAGGCGCUUUCGGGUGUCGCUGAUGGAUGGACCCGCGGUGCAUUAGCUAGUUGGUGAGGUAACGGCUCACCAAGGCGACGAUGCAUAGCCGACCUGAGAGGGUGAUCGGCCACAUUGGGACUGAGACACGGCCCAAACUCCUACGGGAGGCAGCAGUAGGGAAUCUUCGGCAAUGGACGAAAGUCUGACCGAGCAACGCCGCGUGAGUGAAGAAGGUUUUCGGAUCGUAAAACUCUGUUGUUAGAGAAGAACAAGGAUGAGAGUAACUGUUCAUCCCUUGACGGUAUCUAACCAGAAAGCCACGGCUAACUACGUGCCAGCAGCCGCGGUAAUACGUAGGUGGCAAGCGUUGUCCGGAUUUAUUGGGCGUAAAGCGAGCGCAGGCGGUUUCUUAAGUCUGAUGUGAAAGCCCCCGGCUCAACCGGGGAGGGUCAUUGGAAACUGGGAGACUUGAGUGCAGAAGAGGAGAGUGGAAUUCCAUGUGUAGCGGUGAAAUGCGUAGAUAUAUGGAGGAACACCAGUGGCGAAGGCGGCUCUCUGGUCUGUAACUGACGCUGAGGCUCGAAAGCGUGGGGAGCAAACAGGAUUAGAUACCCUGGUAGUCCACGCCGUAAACGAUGAGUGCUAAGUGUUNGGAGGGUUUCCGCCCUUCAGUGCUGCAGCUAACGCAUUAAGCACUCCGCCUGGGGAGUACGACCGCAAGGUUGAAACUCAAAGGAAUUGACGGGGGCCCGC
Molecule: ribosomal RNA, 900 nt
Filed under: Bacilli bacterium
Lineage: Bacteria; Bacillati; Bacillota; Bacilli
Description: bacterial SSU rRNA
Rfam family: Bacterial small subunit ribosomal RNA
Source: RNAcentral